CAUAGGAUAGUUUAAUAAAAAUAAUAAUUUUGGAGAUUAUUGAUAAAGUAAUAACUUUUCCUUUGA
RNAcentral lists this transfer RNA (66 nucleotides) under Parachauliodes japonicus. Its description in RNAcentral is "tRNA-Pro". Lineage: Eukaryota; Metazoa; Arthropoda; Insecta; Megaloptera; Corydalidae. The record is from RNAcentral.